This is a long non-coding RNA of Thamnophis elegans (Western terrestrial garter snake), 288 nucleotides long. RefSeq lists it as uncharacterized. NCBI's taxonomy places the organism in Eukaryota, Metazoa, Chordata, Lepidosauria, Squamata, Natricidae. The transcript is spliced from 3 exons. The record is from RefSeq and is a predicted model, not a curated record.
CGGCUGCUCAAAGACAUCCAGGAAGUCAAGAAGCACAUUCCUCAACUGCAGGAGCAGCUGUCCAAAGCAACAGGCUCGGCUCAGGAUGUCAUUUUGUCUUCCAAAUCUAUAUCCGAAUCUUUGCAGAUCACUGAGGUGGAAGCUGAGAGGGGGGAUGGGCCAAACAGAGGAGACUGUCAUUUUGGUGAUGGCCCCCAGUGAAUGACACAGCAGAGAGUCCUCGCAGUGUCUUGAGAGAGCAGAGCUAUCUGGAUGACAGCCCAGAGAAGACCGAGACUCACGAAACAG